Molecule: transfer RNA, 39 nt
Filed under: Cunninghamia lanceolata var. konishii
Lineage: Eukaryota; Viridiplantae; Streptophyta; Pinopsida; Cupressales; Cupressaceae
Description: partial tRNA-Met
Source: RNAcentral
ACCCACUUAACUCAGUGGUUAGAGUAUCGCUUUCAUACG